This 253-nucleotide ribosomal RNA is filed under the name uncultured bacterium. Its description in RNAcentral is "partial 16S ribosomal RNA". It matches the Rfam family "Bacterial small subunit ribosomal RNA", at positions 524 to 776 of the family's 1533-position model. The record is from RNAcentral.
GAUGAAGGAUGCAAGCGUUAUCCGGAUUCAUUGGGUUUAAAGGGAGCGUAGGUGGCCUUAUAAGUCAGUGGUGAAAUCUCUCAGCUUAACUGAGAAAUUGCCAUUGAUACUGUAGGGCUUGAGUAUAGUUGCCGUUGGCGGAAUAUGACAUGUAGUGGUGAAAUACAUAGAGAUGUCAUAGAACACCGAUUGCGAAGGCGGCUGACGAAACUAUAACUGACACUGAGGCUCGAAAGUGCGGGGAUCAAACAGG